This 80-nucleotide non-coding RNA is filed under the name Drosophila ananassae. Its description in RNAcentral is "Eukaryotic large subunit ribosomal RNA". It matches the Rfam family "Eukaryotic large subunit ribosomal RNA", at positions 1 to 78 of the family's 3401-position model. The record is from Rfam by way of RNAcentral. Lineage: Eukaryota; Metazoa; Arthropoda; Insecta; Diptera; Drosophilidae.
CAACCUCAACUCAUAUGGGACUACCCCCCUGAAUUUAAGCAUAUUAAUUAGGGGAGGAAAAGAAACUAACUAAGGAUUUG